CGGACGGGUGAGUAACGCGUGGGUAACCUGCCUCAUACAGGGGAAUAACAGUUAGAAAUGACUGCUAAUACCGCAUAAGACCACGGAGCCGCAUGGCUCAGUGGGAAAAACUCCGGUGGUAUGAGAUGGACCCGCGUCUGAUUAGGUAGUUGGUGAGGUAACGGCCCACCAAGCCGACGAUCAGUAGCCGACCUGAGAGGGUGACCGGCCACAUUGGGACUGAGACACGGCCCAG
This 235-nucleotide ribosomal RNA is filed under the name uncultured bacterium. RNAcentral's name for it is "partial 16S ribosomal RNA". It matches the Rfam family "Bacterial small subunit ribosomal RNA", at positions 99 to 334 of the family's 1533-position model. The record is from RNAcentral.